RNAcentral lists this ribosomal RNA (467 nucleotides) under uncultured bacterium. Its description in RNAcentral is "partial 16S ribosomal RNA". It matches the Rfam family "Bacterial small subunit ribosomal RNA", at positions 28 to 506 of the family's 1533-position model. The record is from RNAcentral.
GACGAACGCUGGCGGCGUGCUUAACACAUGCAAGUCGAACGGAAAGGCCCUGCUUUUGUGGGGUGCUCGAGUGGCGAACGGGUGAGUAACACGUGAGUAACCUGCCCUUGACUUUGGGAUAACUUCAGGAAACUGGGGCUAAUACCGGAUAGGAGCUCCUGCUGCAUGGUGGGGGUUGGAAAGUUUCGGCGGUUGGGGAUGGACUCGCGGCUUAUCAGCUUGUUGGUGGGGUAGUGGCUUACCAAGGCUUUGACGGGUAGCCGGCCUGAGAGGGUGACCGGCCACAUGGGGACUGAGAUACGGCCCAGACUCCUACGGGGGGCAGCAGUGGGGAAUAUUGCAAAAGGGGCGGAAGCCUGAUGCAGCAACGCCGCGGGCGGGAUGACGGCCUUCGGGUUGUAAACCGUUUUCGCUUGUGACGAAGCGUGAGUGGCGGUAAUGGGUAAAGAAGCACCGGCUAACUACGU